GGAUAUGAGGUGCAAUCUGGCUGCAAUGUCUGUCACCCCACUGACUGCACGGGCUGAAUCAGCAGAUCUGCUGGCUGGGCAGGUGUCCCCUUCUUCCCUCAUGUGCUUGGUCAAAGGGGGUAACGGAGAAAAACCCCUCUUCUGUCAAGGGCCUGUGAGAGCUGCACUUCCCUGCUAGAACUGCCAGAACAUGCUCUCAAGAAAACAACCUCUUCCUUUUCCUCCUUCUCCUUCUUCGUUUUUAUUUAAGAGAGAGGCAGAGAGAAA
This 267-nucleotide small nuclear RNA is filed under the name Jaculus jaculus (lesser Egyptian jerboa). RNAcentral describes it as "7SK RNA (ENSJJAG00000006648.1)". It matches the Rfam family "7SK RNA", at positions 1 to 270 of the family's 331-position model. From Rfam's summary of the family: 7SK was discovered as an abundant small nuclear RNA in the mid-70s but a possible function has only recently been suggested. Two independent studies have found that 7SK RNA binds the CDK9/cyclin T complex (known as elongation factor P-TEFb). P-TEFb activates transcription by phosphorylating the C-terminal domain of RNA polymerase II. Lineage: Eukaryota; Metazoa; Chordata; Mammalia; Rodentia; Dipodidae. The record is from RNAcentral.